This 253-nucleotide ribosomal RNA is filed under the name uncultured bacterium. Its description in RNAcentral is "partial 16S ribosomal RNA". It matches the Rfam family "Bacterial small subunit ribosomal RNA", at positions 524 to 776 of the family's 1533-position model. The record is from RNAcentral.
GACAGAGGGUGCAAACGUUGUUCGGAAUUACUGGGCGUAAAGCGAGUGUAGGCGGUCCGAUAAGUCGGGUGUGAAAGCCCUGGGCUCAACCCAGGAAGUGCACUCGAUACUGCCGGGCUAGAGUAUCGGAGAGGUUGGUGGAAUUCUCGGUGUAGAGGUGAAAUUCGUAGAUAUCGAGAGGAACACCGGUGGCGAAGGCGGCCAACUGGACGAAUACUGACGCUGAGACUCGAAAGCGUGGGGAGCAAACAGG